GAUGAACGCUGGCGGCGUGCCUAAUACAUGCAAGUCGAGCGAACGGACGAGAAGCUUGCUUCUCUGAUGUUAGCGGCGGACGGGUGAGUAACACGUGGAUAACCUACCUAUAAGACUGGGAUAACUUCGGGAAGCUGGAGCUAAUACCGGAUAAUAUUUUGAACCGCAUGGUUCAAAAGUGAAAGACGGUCUUGCUGUCACUUAUAGAUGGAUCCGCGCUGCAUUAGCUAGUUGGUAAGGUAACGGCUUACCAAGGCAACGAUGCAUAGCCGACCUGAGAGGGUGAUCGGCCACACUGGAACUGAGACACGGUCCAGACUCCUACGGGAGGCAGCAGUAGGGAAUCUUCCGCAAUGGGCGAAAGCCUGACGGAGCAACGCCGCGUGAGUGAUGAAGGUCUUCGGAUCGUAAAACUCUGUUAUUAGGGAAGAACAUAUGUGUAAGUAACUGUGCACAUCUUGACGGUACCUAAUCAGAAAGCCACGGCUAACUACGUG
RNAcentral lists this ribosomal RNA (497 nucleotides) under uncultured bacterium. Its description in RNAcentral is "partial 16S ribosomal RNA". It matches the Rfam family "Bacterial small subunit ribosomal RNA", at positions 28 to 507 of the family's 1533-position model. The record is from RNAcentral.